UACGUAGGGUGCAAGCGUUGUCCGGAAUUAUUGGGCGUAAAGAGCUUGUAGGCGGUUUGUCGCGUCUGCUGUGAAAUUUCGGGGCUCAACCCCGAACUUGCAGUGGGUACGGGCAGACUAGAGUGUGGUAGGGGAGACUGGAAUUCCUGGUGUAGCGGUGAAAUGCGCAGAUAUCAGGAGGAACACCGAUGGCGAAGGCAGGUCUCUGGGCCAUAACUGACGCUGAGACACGAAAGCGUGGGGAGCAAACAGG
RNAcentral lists this ribosomal RNA (253 nucleotides) under uncultured bacterium. Its description in RNAcentral is "partial 16S ribosomal RNA". It matches the Rfam family "Bacterial small subunit ribosomal RNA", at positions 524 to 776 of the family's 1533-position model. The record is from RNAcentral.